Molecule: ribosomal RNA, 253 nt
Filed under: uncultured bacterium
Lineage: Bacteria
Description: partial 16S ribosomal RNA
Rfam family: Bacterial small subunit ribosomal RNA
Source: RNAcentral
GACAGAGGGUGCAAACGUUGUUCGGAAUUACUGGGCGUAAAGCGCGUGUAGGCGGCCAUCUAAGUCGGGCGUGAAGUCCCACGGCUCAACCGUGGAAGUGCACUCGAAACUGGAUGGCUAGAGUCCUGGAGAGGAAGGUGGAAUGCUUGGUGUAGAGGUGAAAUUCGUAGAUAUCAAGCGGAACACCGGUGGCGAAGGCGGCCUUCUGGACAGUGACUGACGCUGAGACGCGAAAGCGUGGGGAGCAAACAGG